AAACUAAAGAGUUUGAUCCUGGCUCAGAUUGAACGCUGGCGGCAUGCCUUACACAUGCAAGUCGAACGGCAGCACGGAGCUUGCUCUGGUGGCGAGUGGCGAACGGGUGAG
This 111-nucleotide ribosomal RNA is filed under the name Duganella sp. sic0402. Its description in RNAcentral is "partial 16S ribosomal RNA". It matches the Rfam family "Bacterial small subunit ribosomal RNA", at positions 1 to 110 of the family's 1533-position model. The record is from RNAcentral. Lineage: Bacteria; Pseudomonadati; Pseudomonadota; Betaproteobacteria; Burkholderiales; Oxalobacteraceae.